UACGUAGGUGGCGAGCGUUGUCCGGAUUUACUGGGCGUAAAGGGAGCGUAGGCGGACUUUUAAGUGAGAUGUGAAAUACCCGGGCUCAACUUGGGUGCUGCAUUUCAAACUGGAAGUCUAGAGUGCAGGAGAGGAGAAUGGAAUUCCUAGUGUAGCGGUGAAAUGCGUAGAGAUUAGGAAGAACACCAGUGGCGAAGGCGAUUCUCUGGACUGUAACUGACGCUGAGGCUCGAAAGCGUGGGGAGCAAACAGGAUUAGAUACUCCCGUA
RNAcentral lists this ribosomal RNA (269 nucleotides) under uncultured prokaryote. RNAcentral describes it as "partial 16S ribosomal RNA". It matches the Rfam family "Bacterial small subunit ribosomal RNA", at positions 524 to 792 of the family's 1533-position model. The record is from RNAcentral.